This 252-nucleotide ribosomal RNA is filed under the name uncultured bacterium. RNAcentral describes it as "partial 16S ribosomal RNA". It matches the Rfam family "Bacterial small subunit ribosomal RNA", at positions 524 to 776 of the family's 1533-position model. The record is from RNAcentral.
UACGGAGGAUGCGAGCGUUAUCCGGAUUUAUUGGGUUUAAAGGGUGCGUAGGCGGUAUUUUAAGUUAGUGGUAAAACGUCGGGGCUUCACCUUGAUUGGCCAUUAAAACUGGAGUACUAGAGUACAGACGAGGUAGGCGGAAUAAGUUAAGUAGCGGUGAAAUGCUUAGAUACAACUUAGAACCCCGAUAGCGAAGGCAGCUUACCAGACUGUUACUGACGCUGAAGCACGAGAGCGUGGGUAGCGAACAGG